UGCAGACGUAGAGCGGCCAGACAGUGAGGAUGACUCUGGACCCAGGUCAGCUCGCGAGAAGGCUCUGGUAAAUGACCUUAUCACCGCAGUGCGAGAUACCCU
Rana temporaria (common frog) is the source of this 102-nucleotide long non-coding RNA. RefSeq lists it as uncharacterized. The record is from RefSeq and is a predicted model, not a curated record. NCBI's taxonomy places the organism in Eukaryota, Metazoa, Chordata, Amphibia, Anura, Ranidae. The transcript is spliced from 3 exons.